AGACGGUGUCGCAUGACAGAUGUCGUUCGUUCAACUUUAGAAAGUCGAGGAAAAAACCAGGUUUAAAAUAUAUAUACGGCCGAAAAUGCAACUGCUUUUAACUUGGAGGAAGAAUCGUUUGUUCAAGGGCUGUAUAUUUUGAGAAGAAUGCAGGAGAAACUUAUACAACAGCUUAAAAAAGAAGUAGGUUUAAAGAGCGGCCAUUUUGUCUUAGAACCUUUUCCAUUUGCGGCUAUUUGCAUUUGUUUGCCUUUUUUUAAGCUUGCCUUUAAGCCUAAAAGAUUUUUGUCGUUGUAUUUAUUUUACAAAAGCGCGAUAGAGCGUUUGCUUUGGUUUAUAAUAUACAUAUUUAGUUGUAUUUUUUAGCUUAGGAUAUCUCGUCUAGUGUUCAAUUUGUUUACCUCAAAAGUUUGUAAUCUAAUUUAGGUGAAACAGAUUGUCGAGGAAGCAGUAACUCGGAAAUUUAUCCAUGCCGAUAGCACAAGC
Molecule: non-coding RNA, 486 nt
Organism: Paramuricea clavata
Lineage: Eukaryota; Metazoa; Cnidaria; Anthozoa; Malacalcyonacea; Plexauridae
Source: the annotation of a GenBank genome assembly